UACGUAGGUGGCAAGCGUUGUCCGGAAUUAUUGGGCGUAAAGCGCGCGCAGGCGGUUCUUUUAAGUCUGAUGUGAAAGCCCACGGCUCAACCGUGGAGGGUCAUUGGAAACUGGAGAACUUGAGUACAGAAGAGGAAAGCGGAAUUCCACGUGUAGCGGUGAAAUGCGUAGAGAUGUGGAGGAACACCAGUGGCGAAGGCGGCUUUCUGGUCUGUAACUGACGCUGAGGCGCGAAAGCGUGGGGAGCAAACAGG
RNAcentral lists this ribosomal RNA (254 nucleotides) under uncultured bacterium. Its description in RNAcentral is "partial 16S ribosomal RNA". It matches the Rfam family "Bacterial small subunit ribosomal RNA", at positions 524 to 776 of the family's 1533-position model. The record is from RNAcentral.